This 468-nucleotide ribosomal RNA is filed under the name uncultured bacterium. RNAcentral's name for it is "partial 16S ribosomal RNA". It matches the Rfam family "Bacterial small subunit ribosomal RNA", at positions 28 to 507 of the family's 1533-position model. The record is from RNAcentral.
GACGAACGCUGGCGGCGUGCUUAACACAUGCAAGUCGAACGGAAAGGCCCUGCUUUUGUGGGGUGCUCGAGUGGCGAACGGGUGAGUAACACGUGAGUAACCUGCCCUUGACUUUGGGAUAACUUCAGGAAACUGGGGCUAAUACCGGAUAGGAGCUCCUGCUGCAUGGUGGGGGUUGGAAAGUUUCGGCGGUUGGGGAUGGACUGGCGGCUUAUCAGCUUGUUGGUGGGGUAGUGGUUUACCAAGGCUUUGACGGGUAGCCGGCCUGGGAGGGUGACCGGGCACAUUGGGACUGAGAUAGGGACCAGACUCGUACGGGAGGCAACGGUGGGGAAUAUGGCACAAUGGGCGGGAGCCUGAUGCAGCAACGCCGCGUGCGGGAUGACGGCCUGCGGGUUGUAAACCGCUUUAGCCUGUGACGAAGCGUGAGUGACGGUAAUGGGUAAAGAAGCACCGGCUAACUACGUG